Long non-coding RNA from Pseudopipra pipra, 12430 nucleotides. RefSeq lists it as uncharacterized. NCBI's taxonomy places the organism in Eukaryota, Metazoa, Chordata, Aves, Passeriformes, Pipridae. The record is from RefSeq and is a predicted model, not a curated record. The transcript is spliced from 3 exons.
UAACAUUUGUCUGUAUCACCACCAUCAUCUCUCCUAAACUCCCCAUCCUCAUGGGAUCACGAAGAGCCUUGUAGCUUCUCCUUAGGCUAUGCUCACACCUUUAUCUUACCAUCUGUCCUUCUCUGAAAACUGAUAUUUUUUAAUGACCGUCUUUGCUUUAGACCUAUGUUUAGAUCACAAUUCCAGAACCCUUAGUGUGAUUUCAGAAGCUCACAGGUAUACUCUGUGGAUCAAUGCUGAGGCUGAGAUGUGGCAUCUGAUUUUCUAAUUUAUUUGAGGUAUUUAAAUCAAUGUUGUGCACACCUGUAUAUUUGCAAAAUGCUACAGUGCAGAAACUAAACUUUAAUUUUGCUUUUUUCACCCCAACUAAAUCCACAAAUGUCUAUAAUUCAGUAAAGACCAGUUUAUCCUGGUUCUAUCUUUUAGUCUUGUUACACUCAGGAGAGUGCCUUUUGCUGUUUAUGAAAAUGCUUAGACACUUUGCUGAAAAUCUGUUGUGAGUUGCACCACUAUAAGCAGCCCUUGGGGUUCUCCAGAUAAAUGGAAACUGUCUCCUCAGUGUCUGCUGAGUGACUAUUGCUAUUUUGCUUAGCAUUCUUCUGAAACUUGGAAGUUAAUUUUUUUUUACAAUACCUCAAAAGUAACCACUAGUUCCUCAUGUCCUUUUUUGGAAUUAAAAAAGUCAUUAGGAUUGAAAAGAAAUGUUUGAGAUUUAAACCUGUUAUUCUUUAAAAGUCAAAGAAUAAAAAUUUGAACUGUCCAUAUGUUAUUCAAGUGAGAAGAAGAACAGGUGAGAAUCUUAGUUCAGACAAAGCAACCCAUUUACAAUCACCCAUGAAGUCCUGUUUAUAUAAAAAAAAGAGAAGCAUUCCCAUAGGAUUCCCUGCCCUCAAAGCUACUCUUCCAGCUCUCUCAGUCUUUCCAUCUGUGUUACAUCCCUUGAAGGGCAAAGUAUUACCUUCUGCUAUCACAUUUGGAUACACAUACGUACUCGAAGUUAGAAGCAAAUGUUAUUCAUGCAUUUUGUUUCCAUCAAAAAGCUAAAUAACUUUCUACAACUACCCCAACUAAAUACUGGUAAUUAAAUCCACCUGUCCACAAUAACUUCAGCCUACCUACAGCAAGACUCAAUGCAUUGAUAGAGCUAUUACAUUUUUAUUAUUACUCCUUUAGCCACUGUGUCCUUUUGCAUUUGAGCCAUCACAUCACACUGGUGCAGUGCUGUAAUGCAGUCUUGGCACUACAGGCUCAGACAUCCAGUCCCUGGAACACAACUGGGAACCUUGUGUAUGGCACACAUGCCAAGCAGAGGGAAAGUGUGCAGGGCUGUAACCAGUUCCCUUGGUAACCAAGUGGUAUUUUUAAAAGAGAAAGUGGUACCACGGUGUUAAGUAAAUAAAUGCACACAAUAAAGGCCCCCACACGAGUAACUUUCCUAGAUACUGCUGACAAUAGAGAGCAGCAGAACAUGUAAAUUCAUGUGCCUUGGACCUGUGAGGAACCAGAAAAAUUUCUCCCCAAUUAGAUGGUCAAAUAAUGCCCUCAUUCACAAGUUCCUUUUAGGCAGCCAGGAACACUCUGCCUCCCAGCCCUUUUCCUCUUACCUCACCACUACUUUCCCAACUCCCUUUCACAUUACAAACAGCUACUAAGCAACAGGAGGUUUGCAGAGAAUGAGUCACUCUCAUGUGGCUGAUGGGCUGAGUGCAGGAUGGAGAUUAGUGACCUGACAAGGCACAGCCCAGAGCCAUUGUGCUUCCAGAAAACCAAAGUGGUCACUGAAUGCAGCAAAACUUAAUAUAUUAUAAGUGCUUUAAAAGGAUGUAAUUGUAAGUGAUGCCUUAUAAUUCUCACAGACAGAUGUGUGAGCCAACAAAGAACACUGCUGUAUGUUAGAUGCAAAGGUGACAUAUGGCACUAAGUAUUCCAUAUCAAAAAGGUAUUCCCUUAAAGUUAAUUAACCAUUUAUUAAAUUAGAUUUUGUUUAGAUGGUAAUAUGAAAUCCUUGUGCUUUGGACUGAUAGUAAAAAUUUGGGGAACCACACAAGGUCAGUCAGUUCCCAAUGUAAGCAACAGAUUCUGACAUAACUGCGAGUGUAUCUCCAAACCAGACUUCCUUCUGACUGAGGUUUUACUUUUCUUUUUUUUUUUUCCCUUUAAGAGAAUAACGGAAAAGAGAAAAUUUAUCUGAAAAAAGACUCAGGAGUUAAUCUGGACCACUCCCUUAUCUCCAGGGAGGACUCACUUCUACUUCAGAUCUGAUACAGCUAUGAAAAGAGAAGAAAUCAAUGUGGCCAAUUGCAUGUGCUGCCAGCAUCAUCUCACAGGAGUACCCUACUGCAGCAAUAUCUUCUGUGCUGUCAUCUUCCAUACCUCAACACUGAGAUGGAAAUGACUGCCAAUAUACAAAAGAAAAGCCAUACACAGCUUUGUGAAACAGAAAGAGAUGGAAGAGAAGGAGUCACUGCACUUUUGUACCCAGGAAUGACCUUUGGGAGGACAACUCCUUUUCACCGCACAGAGCAGAUUUGGGACAAAGAGGAAAGAGAAAGCUGCUGGAUGCAUCCUCUUCUACCUAGUGUGGUGUUAUACAGUCCAUGACCUUCAGCUUUUAUGAACAGGUCUAGUUCCUGUGCAGUCAACACACUGUCCUUCUAUGAAAUGCAUUCUCAAUUUCUCUGAUGCUAUAGACACAUGACUUAAAACAGUUGUUAACUGGUUUGUGUCCAUUAAACUUGCUGUGAAGGAUACCUCCUCACAGAAGGGAUGAGCACCAACAACACGUCCUCUGUAAAGCAAAGUAAGACUGACAAGAAACAAGUACUCUUCAAAGUGGGACAAGAGCCACCCCGAUGGCCUGGAGACAAGACCCCAAAGACAAGAUGCUGGGUUCCAACAUUUGAAUUUGUCAAACAGCUUCUCCAUUUUGGAUAGUCUGAACAAUAAACAAAACAAAUUGCCUAUCCCAAAACAACCCAUCUAAUGCACACAUAUGCAAAAAAUAUCAGUCUCUCAGGGCUCUAUUUCCAAAGACAGAGCAAAACAUCGAGUUGUCAAAUAGAACAUGCUUUGGAUCAUAAUGCUCAUAUGCAGAACAGCUCUUGCACAGCAUCAUGGAAAUUUCUAAACUGAGCCUUCUCUAUACACAUUUGCACAGGGCAACUGUCAUUGGAAACAUCAGCAAUUUGAAAAAAAAAUCUGCAUGCUCCUAGGCAGAGGUGUUUGUUCCUGUGCUGAGUAUCUUCUCACCUAAAAAUCUCACACUUCUUGUGGAGUAUUAAUAUCUUCUAUCCUAAUCCUUCUAAGGUUAACUUACUUGUCCUUUUGAUCUCUGAGUUAAGCGUCCUGAGCAUUUAUCUGACUACACCCAAGAGCAAGUUCUAUACAAAAUCUGUGUUGUACUUGGAAAUACAAAAUACAUUACAUUCUGGGAAAGUAAAGGCUCCUCAAGAAGAACCUGUCUUGAUUAUGGCAGUAACUAUAAGAAAUUCCCAGUUCCAAACACCCUCCAUUACUUUAGUGAUUGACUAAACAAAGUCCUUGAAUCUUUUUUUUUCUUCUUCUUCCCUGUGUUCCACUUUGCAGAUAGGAGGACAGAGAUAGCUCUGAUUUCUUUCUCUGUGCAAUAGAGGCAAUGUGAUGGCUGAUGUAACAACGGGUUGAACGUCCCAGUUUGUCCUCGUGUCCUCUUCAUUCUGUCUCUCUGUAGCUGCUACAGGGUUCAUGUACAAACAAGGGUUAGCAGUAGAAGCAAUGGUAUUGCCCAGGGAAUAGUUCCUGCACAGGGACAUUUAUCUUGUUGCUCCAUUUUUAGCACAACAAAGAUCUUACUUCUCUUUGCUGCAGUCCCAGUGUACAUGUUCAGUACAGAGACAGUCAGCCUUUGUCCAAAAAGCUCUUUAACUGGAAAGGAUGGUUUAACAUGACCGCUCCUCUACCUCUGCAUGUACAUAGCAAGAAUAUCUAGAGUCCUAGUAGCUAAUUAAAGGAGUUUGAGAAAGAAAGCUUUGCUUAAAAUUUCCAGUCUCUAUUACAAGCUAGGAUUGUGCUGUUUGCUAGGUCUGUUGAGAGGUCACACCACCUCUCAUGUGCCUGGUACAAGCGCUGAGGCACCCAGGAUGCUGUCAUGUGAGAUGUGAGGUUAGAGUAUAAAAAGCCUUCUCCAUCCUGACAAUUCUCAGUUUUCUGUACUUCUCCUGAAAGAAGGAUUUACAAGUUUGGAGCUUGGCAGAACAGAAAAAAAGAGUUCCAUAAGAAUGAGUCAAGGCCCUCACCUUAAUUCCUCACAUAUUCCAAAUUAAUUUUCUUCUGACCUCAGCCUACAACCAGUCUUUUCUGUUAUGAAAGAAUGAGCCAAGUUUGUCGACUUUAUUCUUUCCAAGAGACAGCCAAGAAGAAUAAAUGCAGAUUAAUCUACUUUGGCCAAAUUAAAGGAAAUUGUAGCUCACAGCAGAGGAAUUCCCUUUGUUUGUUUGACAACACAAGGGAAUUACUGCAGUGCUGUCUCCUGUCACCACUGACAGGCUGUUUGAUAUGUUUCUGUUGCUAGAGUUCCAAAAUGCAUGUUACUGUCAGAUUCCAGGGAAGGCCAUUUCCCCAGGGAGUUAGGCUAGGAGCCCUCUCUCACUGGGAGCUGUAAGUGAUGCUUGCUGGUUGAUGAAUCUGUAAUCAACAUGUAAUCAAGCCACCUCAGGACAGGAAAACUCUCAAAUACAAGUCACAUUCAGCAGGGAAAUGGCAGGAGCAGGCAGGUUUUGAGAUAGACCAUCUGCAGGUUAACAAGGGACCACAGUGAAAACAACAGAGCUGUAUUCAGUGAGUGAGUCACUGCCUGAGACACCUGGCUGAGAGACUGUUCUGUGACUGUGCUGUCAGGAGAGGGAAUGCUGGCUCAGUGCAGCAGCCUGCAAGUGUAAACACCUAUAUUUGCCUCCUCCAUACCCUCACCAAGUGGCUACCUCCUGUCUGCUGCUCACAAUACCUCCCUACCACCCUUCAAAUAAGAAGAGUUUCUCAUUUUUUAUCCUAAAUCCUAGAUGAUAAUUUUUUUAAAUAGAGGAAGCAAUCUUUAUCAAGUACCUUCCUUCAUUAUUUACAUGCAAAAUCCCACCAGCAACCUGCACAGUCAGGUUCAAAGCAAAACAAAGGUAACAGAAACAAACAUAAGACUUCGCAAAAAAUCCUUUGACUAAGGCAGUUUUGCAAAUGGUUACAUAUAUCCAAACACUGAAGCACAACUACUCUGGUCCAGUUUAUGGAAACAGCUGCCUUUAUUGUAAGUAGACAAGCAGUGCUAGAACAAACACAGAGACAAGCACCAUCACCAAACUACCAAAAAAAACAAAAAAAAAGCGAAGCUUUAAAUUAAAUGAACUUUUAACUAGUCACUGGUUAGGUUUUGUUAAAUGUUUAAUGUUUUAUAAUAUUUGGGGAUUUUUUCAGGUUCACUCAGGAGAGUAAGUAAUGCUUAAUUCACUGGGAGUUAGUUACCUUCUGAACUAAUUUCUGCUACUUUCUUUUAAUGUUUCCCUUCAAGUUAUGCAAUGCUACUGCAGCAUCUCAAAGUGAAAGUACCUUGUACAGAACGAUUUAGCUCUGAGCUGAGCCUGAUCCACAGUCAGUAGCCAUGUUGCCUCUGGGGAUUUUGGAUUUAGCUUCUUAAACAGCUAUGACCUCUGGGACUCCUAUUCCCUUUGCUAGGUAGCACUUAAACUUCUAGAGGACUUCAAUAUCAGCAGCCAUUCAGUGCAAUCAAACAUAAGGUUUCUGGAGUUCUUUCACUUGCUACAAGAACUACAGAUUCCUCCAAGAUUACAGCAAGUUACUCAGAAAUCUUCCUACCCCUGGUUCACUGACAGCACACAGGAAGGAGGUUAUUUUUGAGAAGAACUCUGCUCUUCUUUCUGGGUUCAUUGCUUCCUUCUCCAAGGUGCAGACCCUCUCUUGAUUCUUACAUACAGACACACACAGUCUAUCUGACUUGUUAAGGUCUUUCCUCUGCCCAAAUAUAUAGUGUUUGACUCUGUAAUUGUUAUUUUUUAGUCAAAGUGCCUUCUUUCUGCAUGGCAAGUUUCACCAUCCAGACUGCUCAUGAAACAGGAGGGGCUGGGACAGGCGGCUCAGGACUGAACACAGUCUUUAUUUCUAAAACUGUGGUGCUGAAGGAGCUCUUCAGCAAACAGAUAUCUGGGAGUCAGCAACAAGAAAAACACCGACUCGCAUAGUUCAUAACUCUGUCUUUGCCAGGUGGGGGUUAAACAAGAAAAGCACCUGUCAGCUGUGAUUUCUGUUAGGAGAUCAUUCUACUUCUAAAACAUCUCAGUCUCUGCACAGAACUUAAUCAAAUCUGCUCAUUCUCCCCUGGAGUCAACUGCAUAGAACUGAUUGUCACUACAAGGACAAUGAACAUGCUGGUGGAAAGGUCUUUGCUUUAACAUUGCUGCUGAAGCCACACAUCAGUUAUGAAGAUGAAAGACAGAAGGCUGUGUUGCUUCAUGUUGAUGAAGCAAUUGAGACUGACAUGAAAAAUGUGGUCAGUGUCAACAUGCCAAGACACAUGGGGCAUAUUCUGCCUCUCCAUUCCCUUCUCCCAGUCCUCCUAAAAUGUUCAAUGCAAAGAAAAAAGCAUCAAGGGUGUUAAGUGACUUGGAAUAUUUUUGUAUUUAUAUCAUCUAGUAAACGAAAUUGCUGAAAAAUGUCACAGUGUGAUCUUCAUGUAUGUGUGGGAGAAAACAUCUCAGCUGUCAGGGAAUGACUGUACAGCUCCCUGCUGGAAAGAAGAAGUCAAACGUUUCACAAACAGACUUUUAUAGCCUGGUGGGAUCUCUGCUAAACACUUGGGAUAUCCAGACUUGAUUGCUUCCAGGAAGAUAUCUGCUGAUUCAUCCUGGCAGUACCCACUCUCAAGCUGAGCUCUCCCCAGAUCCCAAUCAGCAGAAAGUCUUUCAACCACAGUGCUGACACCAGCUCAGAGAAUUCUGCCUUGAAAUUCUUGGUAAGCUGGUGGGCUAUAAGUCAUCAUCAAAUCUCAGUCAGCUUUUGAAGUGUAGGAAACAACUCGAUUCCCAGAACUUUCUGGAAGGGCUGUUCUGUCACUCAGUGCACUUGUGAUGUUUUUGCUGCUGUUGAUUAAAGCUCUUCAUUCCUUUGCUUCCCUUCCCCUUUCCCCACCUGAACUGCCACCAUGGGUGACAGGUGCUGGGUGCAGGUACUCUCUCUGUGCAUACACUGGAAAUGGAUACUACUGGAGACACAUGAAGGAAAGAGAAGGGGGAACUGUUCUCUAUCAGAGCUAUCAGCAAACAUAGCUGGAGUUCAGGAAGACUUCCCACAGAUCAACCUAAAAGAGUGAGGGACAGAGAAGGAGAGAGAGGGCAUGAGAAAGUUUCGCCUCUUUCUUUCAAUGUGGUUCAGGAUCUCUGAGAGCAAUAAGAAAUGUACAGGCUUAGAAUUCCCCUGUAAACUCCAAAAUAAUCUAGAGAACACUAACCCAUACAAUACUCCGUGCCAACAGCUGGUGGGUAAGAGCAGAUCAGGUUUGUUCUUUCAAGCAGCAGUGCCCUUUGCCUUACUGCAGCACACUGUAAUUAAGGCCUUGCGUAGGGCCAGAUUCACUAGCAUAAUAAAGAGGAGUUAUUUUUGUAUGUGAAUUCAAAUGAACAAAUGCAAUUUCUAACCAUUAACCUCUUGAAGUAGAUAACAAGUGGGUUUAGGGAUAAUUACUGAUUUUCAUAGUUUCUAGGAAAGCUUUAUCAGGACCCUUAUGUUUCUAAAACACUGACACAUCGCAUGAUCCAGGCCGUUGGUGUCUAAAAAGGCAAUGAGUGCAUUACAACAUGCCCCAUAUCCCAGAGCCAGCUCCCCUGCCUUUCUGUGUGUGCAGAGAAGAUGCCAAGAAGCCUGGGGAGCCAGUUCCCAAGUCCUUUCCUUCAUUGGUGCACACUUGCUCUUACAUAGGCAACCACAUUUCAGUGGAGCUAAGGUCUUUGGGUGGAUCGCUCAUUUUGCAGGUUCAGAGAUUGAUUCCAGCAAGAACUGGAGUUUGCACGGCCCACUGGGAAAACUCACUCCUCACCUCUCCUCCAGAGGUACAUGAAAUCUAGUAUGAGGAAGGAGAUGUGGAGAGGCAGGGAAGACGCUGGGCUAAGGAUCCAUCCUGCUUCUGACAGCCCAGAAACAAGAGGAACCUGUUACCAGCAUGGAUAUAAGGAGCCUACUCUGCUGAGUGAGCUCCUGCACAGCUCCACAGACCAGGAUCCACCUCGGCAGCCAUGCCCUGAUGCAACACAGUCCUUUGUGCUGAUCCAACAGCCACUGUUUCAGUGGAUAAACCAGGUAUUAAACUCACCAUUUCCAGAAGUUACAAACUCAGCUGCAAAAGCCACAGCUCUGUAGCAGUGGGUCACAACUCCUGCCUUGGCCAGCACAUCACUCCUUGCUAACCUUGCCUGCUGCCAGCGAUUCCUAUUGUGUGCUGCACACAACAGUGAGACUUCCUUCUCCUCUGUUAUGGACCUGAACACCUUACCUUGAUAUAGGCAUACAUAAUUUUAUUAAAAUGAUCACUGCACUACUGAGGCAGCAUUUACAGGGGAACCGAACAAUAGCUCUUUCCAAGCUACCAAGCUCUUGCAAGACGUGAUGUAGGGAGAUGGGAGCUGACACCAAGCUAGAGCAGAUGGCAUUGAAGAUGAAAGAUGAGAAAGCUCACUUGCAGGGAACCUGGGUUUUGUUCUCUGUGGGAGGAACAUGAACUUUUGCAUUUAAGCCAAAUUUAAUAAUGCAUUCCAGUGAUCUACGUUCUUUUAAGCUCCCACAUUUCCUCCCUUCCUGAACGCUAUAUGUUUUCCCCUUCUAUUAGAGGUAUUUCUGUGGCAUCCACUGCCAACAGGUUGAAAAUCAAAAUGCUACCAAGUUGUCAUGGAUGAAACAUCAAUAUCUUGAAUGUUUGGGAAAGAGCCAAACGUUAGUUUAAUUAGCUUGAACAUAUUCAAUUUGGACUGACCUUUUCAAAUAGAAUCAAAGAAGCACUGAGGUUGGAAGCAACCUCUGGAGAUCAUCUAGUGCAACCAUCUGUUCAAAGCAGAGCCCAUUAGAUGAACUUGCUUAGGACAUCAUCCAGUCAGAUUUUUCUGUAUCUCCCAAAACAGUCUGCAAAAUAUUUCUCCUGAACACAUGCACUACAGUCCUUAAAGAAGUUAUUUCAAACCAAAUUUUGCAACUUUAUUUCCUACAAUGCAAAGAAAUCUUUUGAUAAUUUUGUAACAUAACACAUUUUCCUCCAUCCAGAAUAGGAAAUAAGAAAAACCUUUUUGCUACAAUGACUGCAUUUUUAAUACUGUUCAUUUUUCAAAUUUCAAUUUCCAAUUAAAAUUUUAAAAGGUCAAUAUAUAAAUUCCCAUCUGAAUCUCGUGUAAGCAUCUUAAAAGAAAAUCAGCACCUACCCAGUAUCAGGGACUAAGAACAGUUCAGUACCACACUUGCUGCUGUGCAUUUCCUCUCUUCAGCUCUUUUCCAGACCCCGUAAGGAGUUUUGGAAACUCUAUGGACACUUGCUUGCCUACUUAGACUCCAGCACAAGGACACCAUUGGAUGAAGCAGGACACAUCACAGUCUCUGGUGUGUUCCUACCACCCAGCACUUCUGAUUCUGUCUCCAGCUACUUGCAAAGGCCAUUUCAAUUCGGCAUAGUAAUGACAUAUUGCAGAAUACUAAAACCUUCAGUGAAGUUCGCAGCACUGACUCCUCAUAAAUACAAACUGUCAGCUCUCUGGUGCUUCCAAAUAUGCAGUGAUCACAUACUGGAAACCAUUCCCAUACAUUUACUGGUUUACAUUGGCAGUGCACUGCAAAAGAUCAGAAGGUACUUUAAAACAAACAAACAAACAAACAAACCACAACUCCUGCAAUAAUGUGGCUUUUAUCUUCUAAAAGGUGUUCAUAGGAAAAACUCUAAUUUCUAGAAGAGUUCUCCAUUGACCCUGUGAUACGGAGUCUGGGUGUAAGUUAAAAACCAGACAAAUUAAAUUUUUCUCUCAUUUAUUGUGAAAUAUAAGUAUUUUUAUGUUUCUCAUUAAAUUUUUCAUCAGAAAAGAUCAUGGAACUGGAUCACAUAAUUCAGAUCGUUUGGUCAGGAACUUCCAUUCUCAUUAUUUCACCCAGUACAGAAGCUACAACACAAUUGCAACUGACAAAACACUUGCAAAUGUACAGACAGCCCUAUUCCAAUGAGUUACUUCUUUACACUGAAAAAACAUAAGGUUGUCAUAACUGAGCAGUUAAAAAAAAAAAAGCCUUGCAAUCAUUUGAUGGCUCUUCAGUGAAUAAUGGAAAAGAGUUUAAAGGGCUCAAGCACAGACCUCGGGGAAAAAGAGAACUGCAUCAUUAAAAAACUCCAGCCCAGUUAAUUGCAGGUAAUUUCUCUGAAUAAUGACAGCAGAGAACACUGAGUGACGUAGGGGAGAGAAUAUUCUGAGUCGUAAUCACUUAAAACGAACAGUUCAGUCAAUUUGAACUUAUUUGGGACAGUCUGUCCUGCCCCUUCCAGAGCACUGUAAACAUUUGGCUAAAGCUGUCAAGGAGCAUCUUCCAUGUGUUCUGCACCCUACAAAUGGUGGCAGAAGAGCUCUCCCUCCCUGUUCACGCUGGGAACAUCCUGUACACACCUGUGCACACAAACAUGGCUCUGUGGCCUAAUUUUUGAGGAAUAAUUAAUAUUUAAUUAUGUAAAUAGCACCUAAAAAGAGGAUAUGUUCCUUUGGCAGACCAAUUCAUCUUCUAGUGCAGCCACUUUAAGUGUCCUCCACAGCUGGAACUAUCUAUGUAAAAUGCCUGUAAGUCAACAGGAACAAUGCCUGGUGCAUGGCAGAACAAAUGAGAGCUAAUUCACAAGGAAGGGACCACCAAACUAAAUAUAUUUGGGUUUCAUCUACCUCACAUUAGCCUGUUUUGGAGAACAUGUGUACUUGUCACAUAUAAUUCUCAGUUGCUCCCAUUCUGAGAUAACUUUCUUCACUGAGGUCCUCAAGACACCAUUCAGUUUGAUCUCUACACUUUCAAACAUUCAUCACCCAAGCAUUCAAAAGAUUCAUGACCUACUUGGGCCACCCUUAUUUCAAAUGGCAAGUUGAGUGUAUCAGGAAUAACACUUCAUGGGAGCUUGAAGCAUUUAUUUUUAAAGCAAUACAUGAAGAUGAUCUGUGUCUGCAUGAUGCCAGAAGAGAGCAAGGCGAGGGAAGCAAACAAUGAACAAAACACAAACACCCCUCUGGUAACGUCUCAAAGCAGCAGAUUAAAAGCAGCUCCUAUUCCCAAUGCCCUUACUUCAAGGCUCUUACCUCAAGAGCUGUUAGCCUUAGAACCAGCAAACAAGAGUCCAAAUGGAACCAUGCUGAAAAUUGGGUGCCUUCCCCUUCUCAACAUCCUCUUCUCAUGUACACAGCCCUGAGUACAGCCUGAUUAUUUUCGCUAUGAGCUCCAUUACAUCCCUUAAACGAGAAGAAUAACCCACUCCUUCCUAGCUGUGGUUGUGUAAACCAAUAUUAAAAGACUCUCAAACCCUGGGUCCCUCUGGCUGACUGCAGGGAGGAGGCAGAAUGUCAGCACAUGUCAAUAUUGAACUUAGCUUGGCUGGGUCUGAGGCAGGUGCCUGCCACGUGUAAAAGCCCCAGAGCUCCAGUGGACUCAAAUCUUCCUGCCACCAUGGAUUUACAGAGCUCUUGGGAAACAUAUUUCUAAGGGAACACAGGCACCUACAGCACGGAACAGCUGCACCACUUAGAAAGUUUAUCUCUCCAUUUCAUGCUUGUUAGACUUUCCUAGGACAUGCACUAGCUGCAUGCACUUCUGUAAGCCACUUAAACUCCCUAAAAGCAGUGGAUCAGGACGGUGUAGAGUACUGCACUGAGUUGGUUUGUCUCUGCUGAUCAGUACAAGAGAAGGGCAGGGAGAUUUUGUCAAGUUUUAUAAAAUUAUGCCCACAAAAGCAGGGCUAAGUACUGCUCUACUAACAGCAGGAGACCAUAGCCAUGACAUUCUUCUCUGAGAAACUGAAUAGACAUUCAGUAAGAACAGACUCAUUACUAUUGCUGGAACCAUUUAAAUCCCAUCCAUCCCCUCCAGGAUGUACCCCUUGCUGCUCUAAAACAGGCAGAAGGAUUUUUUUUUAGGAAGCUCUAACUGCUACCCGAGGAAUGAGAUACAAUUUUGCCCCAGGGAGAGCCAGGUGCUUUGCUUUGCUGCUUGUCUCACAAAAGUUGUACCCUGCAAUAGAGCACAUUUGUAUUGGAUUAAUGUAAUCAAAAGCACCCUGCUGUCUGGUCACUGACCUGUCUGUAAACAACAGAUGACAUGACGCUGUGAGCUACUAUUAUACAUAAUUACCUAUUGAGUUGUGACUAUUGUUAAAAAAAAAACAAAACCAUAUACUUCA